This 1343-nucleotide ribosomal RNA is filed under the name uncultured bacterium. Its description in RNAcentral is "16S ribosomal RNA". It matches the Rfam family "Bacterial small subunit ribosomal RNA", at positions 28 to 1378 of the family's 1533-position model. The record is from RNAcentral.
GACGAACGCUGGCGGCGUGCUUAACACAUGCAAGUCGAACGGAAAGGCCCUGCUUUUGUGGGGUGCUCGAGUGGCGAACGGGUGAGUAACACGUGAGUAACCUGCCCUUGACUUUGGGAUAAUUUCAGGAAACUGGGGCUAAUACCGGAUAGGAGCUCCUGCUGCAUGGUGGGGGUUGGAAAGUUUCGGCGGUUGGGGAUGGACUCGCGGCUUAUCAGCUUGUUGGUGGGGUAGUGGCUUACCAAGGCUUUGACGGGUAGCCGGCCUGAGAGGGUGACCGGCCACAUUGGGACUGAGAUACGGCCCAGACUCCUACGGGAGGCAGCAGUGGGGAAUAUUGCACAAUGGGCGGAAGCCUGAUGCAGCAACGCCGCGUGCGGGAUGACGGCCUUCGGGUUGUAAACCGCUUUCGCCUGUGACGAAGCGUGAGUGACGGUAAUGGGUAAAGAAGCACCGGCUAACUACGUGCCAGCAGCCGCGGUGAUACGUAGGGUGCGAGCGUUGUCCGGAUUUAUUGGGCGUAAAGGGCUCGUAGGUGGUUGAUCGCGUCGGAAGUGUAAUCUUGGGGCUUAACCCUGAGCGUGCUUUCGAUACGGGUUGACUUGAGGAAGGUAGGGGAGAAUGGAAUUCCUGGUGGAGCGGUGGAAUGCGCAGAUAUCAGGAGGAACACCAGUGGCGAAGGCGGUUCUCUGGGCCUCUCCUGACGCUGAGGAGCGAAAGCGUGGGGAGCGAACAGGCUUAGAUACCCUGGUAGUCCACGCUGUAAACGGUGGGUACUAGGUGUGGGGUCCAUUCCACGGGUUCCGUGCCGUAGCUAACGCUUUAAGUACCCCGCCUGGGGAGUACGGCCGCAAGGCUAAAACUCAAAGGAAUUGACGGGGCCCCGCACAAGCGGCGGAGCAUGCGGAUUAAUUCGAUGCAACGCGUAGAACCUUACCUGGGUUUGACAUGGAUCGGGAGUGCUCAGAGAUGGGUGUGCCUCUUUUGGGGUCGGUUCACAGGUGGUGCAUGGCUGUCGUCAGCUCGUGUCGUGAGAUGUUGGGUUAAGUCCCGCAACGAGCGCAACCCUUGUUCACUGUUGCCAGCACGUUAUGGUGGGGACUCAGUGGAGACCGCCGGGGUCAACUCGGAGGAAGGUGGGGAUGACGUCAAGUCAUCAUGCCCCUUAUGUCCAGGGCUUCACGCAUGCUACAAUGGCUGGUACAGAGAGUGGCGAGCCUGUGAGGGUGAGCGAAUCUCGGAAAGCCGGUCUCAGUUCGGAUUGGGGUCUGCAACUCGACCUCAUGAAGUCGGAGUCGCUAGUAAUCGCAGAUCAGCAACGCUGCGGUGAAUACGUUCCCGGG